RNAcentral lists this transfer RNA (73 nucleotides) under Catellatospora chokoriensis. Its description in RNAcentral is "tRNA-Thr". Lineage: Bacteria; Bacillati; Actinomycetota; Actinomycetes; Micromonosporales; Micromonosporaceae. The record is from RNAcentral.
CGCGUUGGCGGUGCGGGACGCGGCCGUCUGGUAGGCGGCCGCGGCCUCCGGGUCGCGGCCCAGGCGGUGCAGC